This 618-nucleotide ribosomal RNA is filed under the name uncultured bacterium. RNAcentral's name for it is "bacterial SSU rRNA". It matches the Rfam family "Bacterial small subunit ribosomal RNA", at positions 8 to 619 of the family's 1533-position model. The record is from RNAcentral.
AGAGUUUGAUCCUGGCUCAGAUUGAACGCUAGCGGCAUGCUUAACACAUGCAAGUCGAACGGUAACAGCAGAGCUUGCUCUGGCUGACGAGUGGCGGACGGGUGAGUAAUGCUUAGGAAUCUGCCCAGUAGCGGGGGACAACAUGUGGAAACGCAUGCUAAUACCGCAUACGCCCUACGGGGGAAAGCAGGGGAUCUUCGGACCUUGCACUAUUGGAUGAGCCUAAGUCAGAUUAGCUUGUUGGUGGGGUAAAAGCCUACCAAGGCGACGAUCUGUAGCUGGUCUGAGAGGACGAUCAGCCACACUGGAACUGAGACACGGUCCAGACUCCUACGGGAGGCAGCAGUGGGGAAUAUUGCACAAUGGGGGAAACCCUGAUGCAGCAAUGCCGCGUGUGUGAAGAAGGCCCGAGGGUUGUAAAGCACUUUCAGUAAGGAGGAAAAGUAUGUAGUUAAUAACUGCGUACCCUGACGUUACUUACAGAAGAAGCACCGGCUAACUCCGUGCCAGCAGCCGCGGUAAUACGGAGGGUGCGAGCGUUAAUCGGAAUUACUGGGCGUAAAGCGUGCGUAGGCGGCACGGUCAGUCGGAUGUGAAAGCCCAGGGCUCAACCUUGGA